Molecule: long non-coding RNA, 3325 nt
Organism: Hevea brasiliensis (rubber tree)
Lineage: Eukaryota; Viridiplantae; Streptophyta; Magnoliopsida; Malpighiales; Euphorbiaceae
Exons: 2
Source: RefSeq, a predicted model, not a curated record
UCUUGAUUUUUAACUAAGAUAUAUAUAUGUAUUGUUGACCCAGGGUCUGCAUACUUUUAUGUUAGUGCCAGCAUUGCUUGCCUUCCUGCUGUCUCUUGUAUAAAAAUAAAUUUUGAUAUGUUAGUAACUAGUCUUUUUGGAAUUAGUUUUGGAAGAGUUUGCUAGCGAAAGAUAUCUCCUAUAAUACGAUAAAUUAUUGAAUAUCGAUAGAUAAAAGAGUUAUGGAAGUAAAAAUUUGAACAGCUGGUUCAGAUGUAACAAAGAAAUGUUACGAAUAUUAGCAAGAUUAUUGACUAGAAUGGUCAGAGGACCAAUGAUUAGGUAAAUAAUUCUAACAUGAUUGCAAUGGUCAUUUAAUAAGGGAACAUGAAUUGAAAUAUUAGACAGAACGAUAGUAAGAGAAGAUUAGUGUUAUACAAACAAAUUAAAUAUUGUAUUAGAUUGUUAAAAGUCUUACACAAACUUAAAGGAAAGAAGAUUAUACGAUUCUAUAGAAAGGAGAAAAAAUAAGUUCUCACUCCACAGGAUCACACAAGGUCCUAGAAAGAGUGGAUUCAUUAGCACACAAAAUUGCUUACCUCUAAAAAGGUGAAAUGAAUUUAAAUUCAACGUAUGAUGGGGAAACUCAUAAAGAUCUUAGUACAUGAGGUGAAGUAGCUGAGAAAUAAAUGUAUACAUUUGGUUAAGGUGUUAUGGACCAUUAUUCAGAUUAUGAAACUACAUGAAAAUAUAUGAAAGACAUGAGAAAAUAAACGUAUGACUAUUUUAGGAUGGAUAUUGGGUAAAAUUUCACGAACGAAAUUUCUUUUAAGUGGGGAAGAAUUGUAACACCCCUAUAUGCAUAGCCCAGUAUAUUUCACUGUUCCGGUGACCGGUGUCGAUCUGGAAAAUUAAGAGGAUUAGAACUAUGUUUAAGACACCUAGAAAAGCCCUGAAUGAAAAUUAAUAGUGAUUACCAGUUAGUUAAGUAUAAACAAGAAAAACAAAGCAUAAAAAGUUAAAUGAGUAGAUGGUCACAACGAUGGGUGACCUUACCAAUAAGUGACUGCGAGGUCAGUCCUAACCCUAAUUUUGAACAGGAAAUUGUGACACCACGGUCCUAAGGACUAUUACGAACCUAGUGGGAAAGAGAAAAUCAUAGAAAAGAGCUGAUAAGUAGGUCAAAUAAUUAGGUCAAGACUCCGAAAGAAAUGCCAAAUUAUUUGCAAAUCGGAUCAAACUGGCGAAGGGCAAUUUGGUCAAUUCACCCCUAGUAGUGACUCUUGACCUAACUGUCCAAUAAAAUAGGAGAAAUGAAAAUUUCGAAAUAGAGAAUUAAAUUAAAGAAGAGUAGAAAUUAAAGGAAAAAGAAAAGUAAAUGCAAAUGGAAUUAUUACAUCACUUUGGUGACAUCAUAUAUGAUGUCAAAAUAAAAUUUUACUUACCCUAAUUUUUGAACAAGUCAAAUUUAACUUAAUUGGACAUAAAAACAUAAAAAUUAAAAGAACAAAAUCAUUUCCUUCUCCCCCAACCAGCCGGCUGAACCCCAAUCCUCUCUCUCCCCAUGGUUUUUCCUCCAUUAACAAAUUAUUCAAGCUUGAAUAACUUGACCUUGCCCCAUAAAUUUCUACCCAAAACCCUCAAAGGCUUCUAAUUCACCAAAGAUAAGAAGAUUGAAGAACAAAGAGAAAGGAGAAAGUGAAGAAAUUGGUGAAUUGGAAAUCAAAGAUUGAGGUUAGUGAUUUAAAUUGAAAAUUCUAGUUCAAUGCUUAUGUUUCUAGCAAAAUUAACUUAGAAUUAAAGUGAAAAUUUAAACAAAACAAUUAUGGGGGAUUAAUGGUAAAUUUUGGCCAGCCUAUAGGGAGGUAGAAAUUGCUUGAGUUUGAUGAAAUUAAAGAGAUAGAGAAGUUGAAUUAAGUAUGUAGAUUAAGAUUAUGCACUUUAAUUUCAUUAGUUGCAUGAAUUACACAAUUAGGGUUCUUGAGAUCUUGAAAUUGGGAGAAAAAUUGAAGGAAAUGGUCAAUUGAUGCAAUUGACCCUAAUUGAGGUUAGAAAUGGUCAAUUGGGACCAAUUGUGAUGUGUUGGAAUUGGUAGAAACUAAAUGCAAUUCGGAUUGGUUAGGGGUCCCAACCUGGCAGUUUGACCUAGGUCCCUUUCAGGGACCAAAACUGAAAUUUUACCAACCCAAUUGGGGUGAGGCUAGGGAAUGAAAUUAAGCACAUAAAGACACAAUUUUCAUUUAGAAACCAUGCCUAGAAAAUGACAUUAACAUAGUGAACAAUUAGGUCAAACCUGGAUAUUAUGCACUGCCACUAUAUCAAAAUGACCAAAUAAAUAGUGUUUGUUCAUUUGGCCAUAACUUGGGUUAGAUAGGUCCAAAUGACCGGAUUUUUGUGGCAUUGGAAAGCUAUGACAUAUAAAUACAACUUUUGUGAAGAACACCAACCCAAAUUCUGCCCAUAACCAAGUCAUUUUGCCACCCAAAUUUAGUUGUCCAAAACUGCCAGAACCAAUAAAGUGCCCAGAAAUUCUGGAUAACACCAAUCUAGCCAGCCUUAGGAAAAUGGAUAUAUCUUGAGCUACAAAACUCCAAAUGGAGUGAUUCAAAAAGAAAAUUAAAGAUAAGACAAUAAGGAACAACUUUGAUGAAGGACACUUAGCCAAAUUCCUAUAUUAACUAGAUCAAUAGAACAGUGCAAAAUAUGGCACCAAAACUGAAAAAUUGAGCUUUAUCUUAGGAGACCUAGAAAUUGAAAUGGCAACCUAAACCAACAAAUUAGGCACCCAAAAUGUGGUAUGUGGGUGUAAUGAGAAUUGGUAUACCAAAUUAGUGUGGAAAAGUCAAUAUUUUGUUCCAAUGGUCAAAUGAAUAGUAACCACAUAAUUAAGAAUACAAAGAAUUCAAUUUAUGAGAGUAUAUAAGUAAAGUUUAAAUGCAAAUUUCAAUUGUUAAAUUUAUGGUUAAACAUAAUUUGAAUAAAUAUUAAAACAUCUUAAUUGUGUGCUUUAGCGGAAAAAGGGCAUUCCGAGGAAAGGAAUUAACAGGAGUGAAAGAAGAAAAGUUUGAUUACGAGAUAGGGAAAAGGACAUAGUAGAAGAGUGAGCUGCUACAGUAAUAGGGGAGCACAACUUGAAGAUUUUUGUACGAGUAUAUUAUUUAUACCCAUGUGAUUUGGUUGAUGCAAAUAUGGUAUUGUCAUAUGUAUAUAUGUAAAAUUGAGCAGUUGUACAGUAAUUUGUAAUAAUAUUAUUUUGGAUUUUCUAUUUAUAAAUUAAGACUAGUGAAUGUAAAUAAUUUUUCCUUUAAUGAAAUGUGUAUGAAAUUAUUUAGUAUUAUUUUGAAAA